RNAcentral lists this ribosomal RNA (69 nucleotides) under Paenibacillus sp. EKM101P. RNAcentral describes it as "partial 16S ribosomal RNA". It matches the Rfam family "Bacterial small subunit ribosomal RNA", at positions 1 to 68 of the family's 1533-position model. RNAcentral also lists the same sequence under 4 other names. Lineage: Bacteria; Bacillati; Bacillota; Bacilli; Caryophanales; Paenibacillaceae. The record is from RNAcentral.
UUUAAUGGAGAGUUUGAUCCUGGCUCAGGACGAACGCUGGCGGCGUGCCUAAUACAUGCAAGUCGAGCG